RNAcentral lists this long non-coding RNA (1907 nucleotides) under Corvus moneduloides (New Caledonian crow). RNAcentral describes it as "lncRNA (ENSCMUG00000018360.1)". The record is from RNAcentral. Lineage: Eukaryota; Metazoa; Chordata; Aves; Passeriformes; Corvidae.
ACUCUCGGGGAACAGCACACGCACGCACACACACGGCAAAAAUGAAGGAAAAGGCAAUGUUUCAAACGGCUAAAAUGCAAGGAAACAUGAUGGUGCUCGAAUGUUUGGAAACUGCCAAGAGAAACCAUGGUGGAUGUGUCAGAUUUCUGCUUUACUCUGAUGAAAAAUGUAUGAAUAGGGCAAAAGAGACAGCUUGGGUUCAUUGAGAGGAUUUGCAGAAGAGUCUGGAGAUUUAGAUUUUCAGUUUGACCAUUUAAAUUCCAACUCUCAUAGCUACAGUUUUGAUGUACAUAUGAAAAACCCAAAUAAAAAUAAGCCCAGUGGCAACUGUUAUCUCCUCAGAAGUCCGCUAGCACCUCUGAGGCCUCGGAGACCUCAAGGGUACAACUGACAUGAAGACUAAGCUACUCUGUCACCCCAGGAGUGCUCCUGCUCUUCCUUGAGAAACACAACUCUGGUACCUCUCAGGAGCAAUAAAUUCUUACUGAAAUAAAUAAGACCUUGGUGUUCCAUUGUGAUUUUCCUUAUUUGGCAUAAUUUACCUACAGGUGUGUUUCUUGCAGUGCUCAAUCACAUGGCACUGAAACAUGGUGAAAUUCUUCUCAGCCAAGAAUGCAGUUGUCCUAACAUGGGCUAAAGAAGCUGUGUAAAGAUUAAUUUUUCUUGAAACUCCCACACUGAAGUACAUGGUGGAGUUUGUGACCCAGUGCAGGUCCCUGCUACUUUAGCCUUCCCUCUGUCUUAUAUUCAGCUUGACUUAGAAGCCAAAUGCAAUCCAGAUUUUGUGUACUGUUCCUUAGUUGUCUACUACCUCAGCUGAAACACAGGGAGCUCCAGAACUGAAAGCAAGGAAACCGAGGUAGUUCCCAGGUGAGCUGUCAUGAGUUCAGCUGGAGUUUAAAGCCAGGCAGGAAUUCAAUUGCUGAUACUACAGCAAGAAUUGCAGCAAAAAAAUCGUUGGGACUGAGGCUGCUUAGUGAAAGGUGAGUUGUGUUUUGAGGACUGUAACAUUCUGGUAUCGUUUCUGGGUCAGGCAUGAAAGGGAACAAGGGUUCGCUUUUGUAAGGAUGAUAUGUGCAGCAGGCAUACAAUCCAUAGGAGGUGCUGGAAUUGCUGCAUUGUGGGAAAGCUGUAAGAUAUGCUGAGGCUGUUCUAAUGUCGUGUUGCUAGCUGGUGGAAAUUAGGAGCCUUUUUACAUUUGAGGUGGGAUGGUAGAGAGCUCCACAAGCUUUGCAGGAUCCUAAUAUUGUCCAUGCAAUAUAGUGUGCUUUUAGAUACAUCCUUACUUAGGGUAUAGAGAAAUGCAAAGCCUGGAAUUAUAAGGGAUCCACUAAAGCUGCAGGACCUGUGAGAAAUACAUGGUGCCAAGCUGUCUCAGAAUAACUUUGGGAGCCGUGGGAAGCACUCCACAUCUCUGGCUUGCUACUUAGUGCUAUGAAAUUGAAGGAGGACAUGUGGUCUGACUUUAAUUUUCACUGUCAGAAGGGUUCAAAAUCUUGAAUUUGAUGGUGCUCCUCACACCUGCAUCUUUUUCUUCAGUAUUCCUCAGCAGCUUCCCUGGUUCCUCUUACUUGCAAGGAAAAAGGUGCACUUUGUGCUAAUUUCUCCCUUCCUCCUCUGAGCUGUCUGACUAUUCACAGGACAGUCUAUCCCCUCCCUCUCUUUCUGUAUCUUUUCACUGCUUUGCCAACAGUAAAAGGAGAAGUAGAAGGGACUGUUAUGAUUUUAGUGAAUGACAGCUGAGUGGGUGGCUGUAGAGCCUUGAGCAGCAACAGAGCCACAGAGCUGUCUGUGCAGCUGGGAAGACAGCAUUGCAUUCAUCUCUAUUUGAGAGGUUACAUUUGUUCAUUAAUGAAGUCUGGACUUGCUUAAGAUAAAUACCUAAAAUGUAAGUAUUGUAGAUGUUG